RNAcentral lists this ribosomal RNA (443 nucleotides) under uncultured bacterium. RNAcentral describes it as "partial 16S ribosomal RNA". It matches the Rfam family "Bacterial small subunit ribosomal RNA", at positions 338 to 795 of the family's 1533-position model. The record is from RNAcentral.
CCUACGGGGGGCAGCAGUGGGGAAUAUUGGACAAUGGGGGGAACCCUGAUCCAGCGACGCCGCGUGAGUGAAGAAGUAUUUCGGUAUGUAAAGCUCUAUCAGCAGGGAAGAAAGAAAUGACGGUACCUGACUAAGAAGCCCCGGCUAACUACGUGCCAGCAGCCGCUGUAAUACGUAGGGGGCAAGCGUUAUCCGGAUUUACUGGGAGUAAAGGGAGCGUAGACGGCGAUGCAAGUCUGAUGUGAAAGGCGGGGGCUCAACCUCCGGACUGCUGUGGAAACUGUAUGUCUUGAGUUCAGGAGAGGUAAGUGGAAUUCCUAGUGUAGCGGUGAAAUGCGUAGAUAUUAGGAGGAACACCAGUGGCGAAGGCGGCUUACUGGACUGUAACUGACGUUGAGGCUCGAAAGCGUGGGGAGCAAACAGGAUUAGAUACCCCUGUAGUC